This is a non-coding RNA of Rattus norvegicus (Norway rat), 4951 nucleotides long. NCBI's taxonomy places the organism in Eukaryota, Metazoa, Chordata, Mammalia, Rodentia, Muridae. The record is from RefSeq and is a predicted model, not a curated record.
UUCCUUCUCCUCCUCUUUUUCCUCCUUUUCCCUCUUCUUCAUUUUUAUUUCGUAGAAUUUGUUUUGGCUUUCUUUUGGUUUUUGAGACAGGAUUUCUCUUGAAAGACCCCAGCUUAGCAGCAGUAACGCCAUUUUGCAAGGCUGUACUUAAGAUGACUGGUUCAGGGAAAGGUUAGAACACUGAGUACACAGCGGCUGCCAAGCAAGAUAUGUUUGGUUGAAGGCCUGGCAACAGGACGACUUCGGUUGAGCACCUGACAAUGAAAAAAAGCCCCAGGAGAGGUCCCACACCCUGGUGGGGGGCCGAGUCAGUCGUUAUGUUCCAAGAAGGUAGCUAAGAAACUUGCCCCCGGGCUGAACCCUUGGGGGGCCGAGUCAGCCGUUAUGUUUCAGGAAGGUAGCUAGGAAACUUGCCCCCGGGCUAAACCCUUGCCAUAUUAGAAUCCACCAAUUAUAUCCCUGUAACCAUGCAUCUGCUUCUGUAUGCUUGCUUCUGCUCCCCAAAAUCCUAUAAAAGCCCAUCCUUGGUUCUGUGGGGCGCGCCAGUCCCCCGAGUGACUGAAGCGCCCGCAGGUGCCUGUGCCUGUGUAUCCCGACAAUAAACCAAAUCCUCUUGCUGAUUGCAUCCUGUGGUGUCUCAGUCUGGUCUUUGGAGUUGGAGGGUCUCCAUCCCGAGGGAAAGUUCUCCCUGAGAGCUUUUCAUUUGGUGCGUUGGCCGGGAAAGGAGAUCCUCCACCCAGGGACCACCGACCACCCACUGGGAGCCUACUUGGGAUGACUGCCAACAGCUCUUAUAGGCCCUCUUAACCUCAGAAGAAAAACAAAGAGUGUUCCUAGAGGCCAGAAAGCAUGUUCUGGGAGAUGAUGGGCGUCCCACCCAGCUGCCUGAGGACCAAACUGGGAUUUUAAUACAGCUGAAGGUAAGGGACACCUACGCCUUUAUCGCCAGUUGCUUCUAGCGGGUCUCCGAGGGGCUAUACGACGCCCUACUAAUUUGGCUCAGGUAAAACAGGUAUUACAGGAAGCAGGGGAAACUCCCUCCGCCUUUCUAGAGAGACUUAAGGAGGCCUACCGUAUGUACACUCCCUAUGACCCAGAUGACCCAGGACAAAUGACGAGUGUCUCUAUGUCCUUCAUCUGGCAGGCUGCUCCAGAUAUCAGGACUAAGUUACAGAGGUUAGAAAAUUUGCAGGGCUAUACAUUACAGGAUUUACUUAAAGAAGCUGAAAAGAUUUUUAAUAAGAGAGAGAAUUGAGUCGAAUCUUGGCCGCCGUAGUUCAGGGCCAAGAAAGGAAGGGAGAUAGGGGGGAGCUCGAAAGGGGCUGAAGCUGGAUAAAGAUCAAUGUGCCUAUUACAAAGAGAAAGGGCACUGGGCCAGAGAGUGCCCCAAGAAGCCUGGCGGACCCCGAAAGCCUCGACCACGAACCUCCCUCUUGGCUCUAGAUAAAGAUUAGGGAGGUCAGGGCCAGGAGCCCCCCCCCCCCGCGAGCCCAGGGUAACGCUUAAAGUUGGGGGGCAGCCGGUUACUUUCCUGGUAGACACAGGAGCCCAGCAUUCAGUCCUCACUCAAGCUUCAGGACAACUCAGCGACCAGACGGCCUGGGUACAAGGAGCUACUGGUGAGAAACAAUACCGAUGGACUACGGACCGCCGGGUUCAGCUGGCUACUGGUAAGGUGACCCAUUCCUUCUUACAUGUUCCGGACUGCCCGUACCCUCUGCUGGGCCGUGACCUGCUCACCAAACUAAAAGCACAAAUUCAUUUUGAGGAAAGAGGGGCCCGAAUAACUGGCCCCCACGGAACUCCCCUUCAAGUUCUAUGAAUAUAGACUAUAUGAACUGGGACAGGACAAGCCACAAUCCCUAGAAAUAGACACUUGGGUCACGAAUUUUCCACUGGCUUGGGCAGAGACUGGUGGGUUGGGGUUGGCGCUCCAACAGCCCCCCUUAAUUAUACAGUUAAAGACCACUACAACUCCAGUCUCCAUAAAACAAUACCCCCUGUCACAUAAAGCUUAUCAAGGUAUAAGGCUUCACAUUACGAGGCUUCUAGAUCAAGGCAUCCUAGUCCCCUGCCGGUCGCCUUGGAAUACGCCUCUUCUGCCUGUUAAGAAACCCGACACUGGAGAUUAUAGGCCAAUACAAGACUUGAGAAAGGUCAACAAGAGGAUAGAAGAUAUUCAUCCGACUGUUCCAAACCCUUACAAUUUGCUCAGUAACUGUUCAUCGAUGAGAAACAGGGGUAUGCUAAAGGGGUCCUAACACAAAGGUUGGGACCCUGGAAACGCCCUGUGGCCUACCUGUCUAAGAAAUUGGACCCUGUGGCCUCCGGCUGGCCACCGUGCCUAAGGAUGGUGGCUGCUAUUGUUGUCCUGAUCAAGGAUGCUGGAAAAUUGACUUUGGGACAGCCACUCACCAUCCUAGCACCCCAUGCAGUGGAGGCCUUGGUAAAGCAGCCCCCAGACCGCUGGCUCUCUAAUUCUCGCACCAAGCCUUGUUACUGGAUGCAGAACGGGUUUAGUUUGGGCCCGUAGUCGCCCUCAAUCCUGCCACCUUGCUUCCUCUACCAGAGGAGGCAAAACAGCAUGACUGCCUACAAAUCCUCGCAGAAGUACAUGGAACCAGGCCGGACCUAUCGGACCAGCCUCUUCAGAAUGCUGACCACACAUGGUACACGGAUGGCAACAGCUUCUUGACAGAGGGAGAGCGAAAGGCUGGAGCUGCGGUCACUACGGAGGACAAAGUGAUUUGGGCGAAAGCCCUGCCUGCUGGUACCUCCGCACAACGGGCUGAACUCAUCACCUUGACUCAGGCGCUCAAGAUGACAAAAGGUAAGAGGCUAAAUAUAUAUACAGACAGCCGUUAUGCCUUUGCCACGGUACACAUCCACGGGGAGAUCUACCGGAGGCGGGGGCUGCUCACAUCUAAAGAUAAAGAUAUUAAAAAUAAGGCUAAAAUUCUGGCCCUCUUAGAAGCCCUAUUCUUGCCCAAAAGACUGAGUAUUAUACAUUGUCCAGGACACCAAAAAGGGCACAACCCAGAGGCACGAAGAAACCGGCUGGCCGAUGCCACGGCGCGAGAAGCGGCCAUGAACAAACAAAUCUUGCCCUUAAAUAGCCCAGACCAACCCACGCCCCCACCAGUGGGACAAACCAGUUGGGUUUACGCCCAUGAGGACAUAGAGCUCCUAAAAAAAAAAUGGGGGCCAUCUACCACCCUCAACUAAAACAGUGGGUCUACAAAGGACUUUUGAAUUGAUCUCCUUUUUACAUAAGAAGAUAAAAACCUUACUAGAUCGAGAAGAGAUAAAUCUGUGUUUUUUUUUAAUUGGGACAAAGCGAUACAAAAGGUGACUGAGAGUUACAAAGCGUGUGCUCAGGUUAACCUGGGAAGGACCAUGAUUGGACAAGGAGUUCGUCCUAGGGGACACCGUCCCGACAUCCAUUGGGAAAUUGAUUUUACUGAAAUUAAACCAGGUAUAUAUGGAUACAAGUAUCUCCUAGUGUUUAUAGACACCUUCUCAGGAUGGGUCGAAGCCUUCCCCACAAAACACGAGACUACAAAAAUGGUCACCAAGAAGCUCCUCGAGGAAAUCUUUCCCAGGUAUGACAUGCCUCAAGCGUUGGGGUCGGACAACGGGCCCGCUUUCGUCUCCCAAGUAAGUCAGUUGGUGGCCAAAUUGCUGGGGAUUGAUUGGAAAUUACAUUGUGCCUAUAGACCCCAGAGUUCAGGUCAGGUAGAACACAUGAAUAGAACAAUUAAGGAGACUUUAUCCAAACUUACGCUUGCAACUGGCUCAAAGGAUUGGGUGGCCCUCCUUCCCCUAGUUCUAUAUCGGGCCCGGAAUACCCCGGGCCCCCAUGGUCUAACUCCUUUUGAAAUAAUAUAUGGAACACCACCCCCAUUUGUCCAUUUCUUUGAUUCAAACAUUGCUGAUUUUGCUGACAGCCCUUCUCUGAGGGCCCAUUUACAGGCCCUACAGAUUGUGCAGAGAGACGUCUGGAGACCUUUGGCCACUGCUUACCAGGACAAGCUUGAGCAUCCGGUGGUGCCACACCCGUUCCAGAUUGGAGACACCGUGUGGGUGCACAGACACCAGACCAAGAAUCUCGAGCCACGGUGAAAAGGACCCUACACCGUCCUCCUGACUACCCUGACCGCCCUAAAGGUAGACGGAGUCUCGGCUUAGAUCCACACACCACACGUCAAGGCAGUCCGGUCUGAGGAAUUGACUAAUCACAACACUACACCCCAGACAUGGAGAGUUCAGCGCAUUCCAAACCCCUUAAAGUUAAAACUCCUACGUGGCUCCUCCUAGCCCUUUUGUGGCCUAGAGUCAGUGGGGGAAUAAGCCCCCACCAGACAGAAAUUUCUUGACCAAGUCGAGUGAAAGAUUUCACUCAAAGUUAGCAAAAAAAUGGGGGAAUGAAAGACCCCAGCUUAGCAGCAGUAACGCCAUUUUGCAAGGCUGUACUUAAGAUGACUGGUUCAGGGAAAGGUUAGAACACUGAGUACACAGCGGCUGCCAAGCAAGAUAUGUUUGGUUGAAGGCCUGGCAACAGGACGACUUCGGUUGAGCACCUGACAAUGAAAAAAAGCCCCAGGAGAGGUCCCACACCCUGGUGGGGGGCCGAGUCAGUCGUUAUGUUCCAAGAAGGUAGCUAAGAAACUUGCCCCCGGGCUGAACCCUUGGGGGGCCGAGUCAGCCGUUAUGUUUCAGGAAGGUAGCUAGGAAACUUGCCCCCGGGCUAAACCCUUGCCAUAUUAGAAUCCACCAAUUAUAUCCCUGUAACCAUGCAUCUGCUUCUGUAUGCUUGCUUCUGCUCCCCAAAAUCCUAUAAAAGCCCAUCCUUGGUUCUGUGGGGCGCGCCAGUCCCCCGAGUGACUGAAGCGCCCGCAGGUGCCUGUGCCUGUGUAUCCCGACAAUAAACCAAAUCCUCUUGCUGAUUGCA